RNAcentral lists this non-coding RNA (97 nucleotides) under Arcticibacter tournemirensis. Lineage: Bacteria; Pseudomonadati; Bacteroidota; Sphingobacteriia; Sphingobacteriales; Sphingobacteriaceae. The record is from RNAcentral.
GAGAGCCGUAUACGCGGGAACGUGUACGUACGGUUCGGAGGCGAGUGUUUGGAAACCUGCUUUAGUAAUAGAGUAAGGCGCCGGGCGCUUAGCCUAC